RNAcentral lists this ribosomal RNA (496 nucleotides) under uncultured bacterium. RNAcentral's name for it is "partial 16S ribosomal RNA". It matches the Rfam family "Bacterial small subunit ribosomal RNA", at positions 29 to 507 of the family's 1533-position model. The record is from RNAcentral.
AUGCACGCUGGCGGCGUGCCUAGUACAUGCAAGUCGAGCGAACGGACGAGAAGCUUGCUUCUCUGAUGUUAGCGGCGGACGGGUGAGUAACACGUGGAUAACCUACCUAUGAGACUGGGGUAACUUCGGGAAACCGGAGCUAAUACCGGAUAAUAUUUUGAACCGCAUGGUUCAAAAGUGAAAGACGGUCUUGCUGUCACUUAUAGAUGGAUCCGCGCUGCAUUAGCUAGUUGGUAAGGUAACGGCUUACCAAGGCAACGAUGCAUAGCCGACCUGAGAGGGUGAUCGGCCACACUGGAACUGAGACACGGUCCAGACUCCUACGGGAGGCAGCAGUAGGGAAUCUUCCGCAAUGGGCGAAAGCCUGACGGAGCAACGCCGCGUGAGUGAUGAAGGUCUUCGGAUCGUAAAACUCUGUUAUUAGGGAAGAACAUAUGUGUAAGUAACUGUGCACAUCUUGACGGUACCUAAUCAGAAAGCCACGGCUAACUACGUG